GUGGGGAAUCUUGCGCAAUGGGCGAAAGCCUGACGCAGCCAUGCCGCGUGAAUGAUGAAGGUCUUAGGAUUGUAAAAUUCUUUCACCGGGGACGAUAAUGACGGUACCCGGAGAAGAAGCUCCGGCUAACUUCGUGCCAGCAGCCGCGGUAAUACGAAGGGGGCUAGCGUUGCUCGGAAUUACUGGGCGUAAAGGGCGCGUAGGCGGACAGCUUAGUCAGAGGUGAAAGCCCAGGGCUCAGCCUUGGAAUUGCCUUUGAUACUGGCUGUCUUGAGUGUGGGAGAGGUGAGUGGAACUCCGAGUGUAGAGGUGAAAUUCGUAGAUAUUCGGAAGAACACCAGUGGCGAAGGCGACUCACUGGCCCAAUACUGACGCUGAGGCGCGAAAGCGUGGGGAGCAAACAGGAUUAGAUACCCGGGUAGUCC
This 425-nucleotide ribosomal RNA is filed under the name uncultured bacterium. RNAcentral describes it as "partial 16S ribosomal RNA". It matches the Rfam family "Bacterial small subunit ribosomal RNA", at positions 354 to 796 of the family's 1533-position model. The record is from RNAcentral.